Non-coding RNA from Callithrix jacchus (white-tufted-ear marmoset), 1303 nucleotides. Lineage: Eukaryota; Metazoa; Chordata; Mammalia; Primates; Cebidae. The record is from RefSeq and is a predicted model, not a curated record.
AUGAGCUUCUACACCCGCUCUGCCUUCUCCACCAACUACCGGUCCCUGGGCUCCCUCCACGCGCCCAGCUGCGGUGUCUGGCCUGCCAGCAGGGCGGCCAGAGUCUAUGCAGGAGCCCGGGGCUCUGGUUCCCGCAUAUCCGUGUUCCGCUCCACCAGCUUCCCAGGCGGCAUGAGGUCUGGGGGCCUGGCUGCUGGGGUGGCCGGAGGUCUGGCAGGAAUGGGAUGCAUCCAGAAUGAGAAGGAGACCGUGCAAGGCCUGAAGGACCGUCUGGCCCCUUACCUGGACAGAGUGAGGAGCCUGGAGUCCGAGAACCGGAAGCUGGAGAGCAAAAGCCGGGAGCACCUGGAACGGACCCCAGGUCAGACAUGGGAGCCAUUACUUCAAGACCAUCGAGGACCUGAGGGCGCAGAUCUUCGCAAAUAUUGUGGACCCAAUGCCCGCAUCGUUCUGCAGAUCGACAAUGCUAAUGCACGUCUUGCUGUGGAUGACUUUAGAGUCAAUUAUGAGACAAAGCGGGCCAUGCUCCAGUCUGUGAAGAGCGACAUCCAUGGGCUCUGCAAGGUCAUCGAUGAUACCAAUGUCACUUGGCUGCAGCUGGAGACAGAGAUCGAGGCUCUCAAGGAAGAGCUACUUUUCAUGAAGAAGAACCAUGAAGAAGAAUUAAAAGGCCUACAAGCCCUGAUUGCCAGCUCUGGGUUGACCUUGGAGGUCAACCCAAAUCUCAGGACCUUGCCAAGAUCAUGGCAGACAACCGGGCUCAAUAUGAUAAGCUGGCUCGGAAGAACCGAGAGGAGCUGGACAAGUACUGGUCUCAGCAGAUUGAGGAGAGCACCACAGUGGUCACCUUGCAGUCCGCUGAGGUUGGAGUUUCUGAGAUGACGCUCACAGAGCUGAGACGUACAGUCCAGUCCUCGGAGAUUGACCUGGACUCAACGAGAAAUCUGAAGACCAGCUUGGGGAACAGCCUGAGGGAGGCGGAGGCCCACUAUGCCCUGCAGAUGGAGCAGCUCAAUGGGAUCCUGCUACACCUGGAGUCAGAGCUGGCAUAGGCCCCAGGCAGAGGGACAGCACCAGGCCCAGGAGUACCAGGACCUGCUGAACAUCAAGGUCAAACUGGAGGCUGAGAUCACCACCUAUCAUCACCUGCUGGAAGAUAGUGAGGACUUCAAUCUUGGUGAUGCCCUGGACAGCAGCAGCUCCAUGCAAACCAUCCAAAAGACCACCACCCGCUGGACAGGGGAUGGCAAAGUGGUGUCUGAGACCAAUGACACCAAAGUUCUGAGACAUUGAGCCAGCAGAA